This 440-nucleotide ribosomal RNA is filed under the name uncultured bacterium. Its description in RNAcentral is "partial 16S ribosomal RNA". It matches the Rfam family "Bacterial small subunit ribosomal RNA", at positions 338 to 795 of the family's 1533-position model. The record is from RNAcentral.
CCUACGGGAGGCAGCAGUGGGGAAUAUUGCACAAUGGGGGAAACCCUGAUGCAGCGACGCCGCGUGAGUGAAGAAGUAAUUCGUUAUGUAAAGCUCUAUCAGCAGGGAAGAAAAUGACGGUACCUGAGUAAGAAGCCCCGGCUAACUACGUGCCAGCAGCCGCGGUAAUACGUAGGGGGCAAGCGUUAUCCGGAUUUACUGGGUGUAAAGGGAGCGUAGACGGCAGUGCAAGUCUGGAGUGAAAGGCGGGGGCUCAACCCCCGGACUGCUCUGGAAACUGUACGGAUGGAGUGCAGGAGAGGUAAGUGGAAGUCCUAGUGUAGCGGUGAAAUGCGGAGAUAUUAGGAGGAACACCAGUGGCGAAGGCGGCUUACUGGACUGUAACUGACGUUGAGGCUCGAAAGCGUGGGGAGCAAACAGGAUUAGAUACCCCAGUAGUC